This is a long non-coding RNA of Monomorium pharaonis (pharaoh ant), 965 nucleotides long. RefSeq lists it as uncharacterized. The record is from RefSeq and is a predicted model, not a curated record. The transcript has 4 exons. NCBI's taxonomy places the organism in Eukaryota, Metazoa, Arthropoda, Insecta, Hymenoptera, Formicidae.
AUUAAUCAUUAAUUGUAUUGUUAAUGAUUGUGCCUUUUGUUAUCAAGAGACACGGAAGUGGCUUGCAUUUAUUGUGUAUAACAUGCGACGUUUAAUGUACGACGAAGAUUGUAGUUUUUAGCGAUAAAAAGGUGAAUUGUGCUGGUUGGUUGCGUUUUUUCUUUUUGUGUGCAAAACGUGAUUCGUGGUCUGUACAGAAGACAGUAAAAUUCAACCAAAGGAUAUAAAGGAUUUUAAAAUUAUUGAAAUAUUUUCAAAGUAAGGGAGGAUUCUAAGAUGCCUGUGAGCAUCAACAUUUGGCUCAUAAUCUGUUUCACGACUGACAAAUUUGUCAGUGUGCAGUUUAGAUGAGCUGAGAUUAUUAUAUGUAUAUAUACGAUAAAAAUUAUAAUUAGUACCAAGAUCUAACUGUAGAUCAUUUCAGCUUUUUUAACUUUAUUGAUAUGUUUAAACAUAUUGAUUUUUUAUAAAAUAUAUUACUAGUAUUCAAUGAGCCACUACUUUGAACCAAGUGCAACCUGUCAUUUUAUCAAUGAGAAUUUAAAUUGAAAUAGCUCGCAAUGUCCAAUUGUUCACAUUCAAAAGAAUUAUGUUAAAAGUAUUUACGAUAUAGAAAUAAUUUAUAUUUUAUAUGAAAUAUAAUACUUUUAUCGAACUUUACGUUUGUUAAAUGUAUAUUUAGUGUUAUCCAAAAAAAGUAACUAAAAUGUAUCUAAAUAUAGGUACCAAUACAUAAAAAAUUGUAUCUAGAUAUAGAUAUAAAUAUAGAUAUAGGUACAAGAGAUAAAAAGUAUCUCGAUACUGUACCUAGGUACAUAAAUAAAUAAUAUGUACCUAGUUAUAGUACUUAAGUACUUGUACUUAGGUACUACACACCACUGAAUAUAACCCACACAGCAAAUAUAUUUGUAAUAUAAUCAAAUAUCUUUUUUGUACUUACAAUUUUAAAUCAAUUUUAAGGUAUU